GACGAACGCUGGCGGCGUGCUUAACACAUGCAAGUCGAGCGGUAAGGCCCUUUCGGGGGUACGACGAGCGGCGAACGGGUGAGUAACACGUGGGUGACCUGCCCUCAGCUCUGGGAUAAGCCUGGGAAACCGGGGUCUAAUACCGGAUAUGACUCCAUGACGCAUGUUGUGGGGUGGAAAGCCUUGUGCGGCUGAGGAUGGGCCCGCGGCCUAUCAGCUUGUUGGUGGGGUGAUGGCCUACCAAGGCGACGACGGGUAGCCGGCCUGAGAGGGCGACCGGCCACACUGGGACUGAGACACGGCCCAGACUCCUACGGGAGGCAGCAGUGGGGAAUCUUGCGCAAUGGGCGAAAGCCUGACGCAGCGACGCCGCGUGAGGGAUGACGGCCUGGUGUAA
RNAcentral lists this ribosomal RNA (397 nucleotides) under uncultured bacterium. RNAcentral's name for it is "bacterial SSU rRNA". It matches the Rfam family "Bacterial small subunit ribosomal RNA", at positions 28 to 428 of the family's 1533-position model. The record is from RNAcentral.